This 301-nucleotide ribosomal RNA is filed under the name uncultured bacterium. RNAcentral describes it as "partial 16S ribosomal RNA". It matches the Rfam family "Bacterial small subunit ribosomal RNA", at positions 509 to 807 of the family's 1533-position model. The record is from RNAcentral.
CAGCCGCCGCGGUAAUACGAAGGGGGCUAGCGUUGUUCGGAUUUACUGGGCGUAAAGCGAACGUAGGCGGACUUUUAAGUCAGGGGUGAAAUCCCGGGGCUCAACCCCGGAACUGCCUUUGAUACUGGAAGUCUUGAGUAUGGUAGAGGUGAGUGGAAUUCCGAGUGUAGAGGUGAAAUUCGUAGAUAUUCGGAGGAACACCAGUGGCGAAGGCGGCUCACUGGACCAUUACUGACGCUGAGGUGCGAAAGCGUGGGGAGCAAACAGGAUUAGAUACCCCCGUAGUCCCUGUCUCUUAUAC